UCCCAUGUGGUCUAGUGGUUAGAUUCCUGGCUUUCACCCAGGCCCGGUUCGAUUCCCGCAUGGAAA
RNAcentral lists this transfer RNA (66 nucleotides) under Trichonephila clavata. It matches the Rfam family "tRNA". Rfam says of the family: Transfer RNA (tRNA) molecules are approximately 80 nucleotides in length. Their secondary structure includes four short double-helical elements and three loops (D, anti-codon, and T loops). Lineage: Eukaryota; Metazoa; Arthropoda; Arachnida; Araneae; Nephilidae. The record is from Rfam by way of RNAcentral.